UGCCAGCCGCCGCGGUAACACGGGGGGCGCAAGCGUUAUUCGGAAUUAUUGGGCGUAAAGGGCGCGCAGGCGGUCUUGUCCGUCAGGUGUGAAAGCCCGAGGCUCAACCUCGGAAUAGCGCUUGAUACUGAACUGCUUGAGACCGGAAGAGGGUAGUGGAAUUCCCAGUGUAGAGGUGAAAUUCGUAGAUAUUGGGAAGAACACCAGUGGCGAAGGCGGCUACCUGGCCAGAUACUGACGCUGAGAUGCGAAAGCGUGGGGAGCGAACAGGAUUAGAUA
RNAcentral lists this ribosomal RNA (279 nucleotides) under uncultured bacterium. Its description in RNAcentral is "partial 16S ribosomal RNA". It matches the Rfam family "Bacterial small subunit ribosomal RNA", at positions 506 to 784 of the family's 1533-position model. The record is from RNAcentral.